CCUUGCCAGCCCGCUCAGACACUCAAAGGAAUUGACGGGGGCCCGCACAAGCGGUGGAGCAUGUGGUUUAAUUCGAUGAUACGCGAGGAACCUUACCUGGGCUCGAACGUAAGAUGACUGUAGGUGAAAGCUUACAUCUCUUCGGAGCAUUUUACGAGGUGCUGCAUGGUUGUCGUCAGCUCGUGCCGUGAGGUGUCGGGUUAAGUCCCAUAACGAGCGCAACCCCUACCUUUAGUUGCCAUCAGGUAAUGCUGGGGACUCUAAAGGAACUGCCUACGCAAGUAGUGAGGAAGGCGGGGAUGACGUCAAAUCAGCACGGCCCUUACGUCCAGGGCUACACACGUACUACAAUGGCCGAUACAAAGGGCAGCGACACUGCGAGGUGAAGCCAAUCCCGUAAAAUCGGUCUCAGUCCGGAUUGGAGUCUGCAACUCGACUCCAUGAAGUUGGAAUCGCUAGUAAUCGUGGAUCAGCAUGCCACGGUGAAUACGUUCCCGGGCCUU
Molecule: ribosomal RNA, 503 nt
Filed under: uncultured Sphingobacteriales bacterium
Lineage: Bacteria; Pseudomonadati; Bacteroidota; Sphingobacteriia; Sphingobacteriales
Description: bacterial SSU rRNA
Rfam family: Bacterial small subunit ribosomal RNA
Source: RNAcentral